Molecule: ribosomal RNA, 484 nt
Filed under: uncultured bacterium
Lineage: Bacteria
Description: partial 16S ribosomal RNA
Rfam family: Bacterial small subunit ribosomal RNA
Source: RNAcentral
AUUGAACGCUGGCGGCAUGCUUUACACAUGCAAGUCGAACGGCAGCGCGGGCUUCGGCCUGGCGGCGAGUGGCGCACGGGUGAGUAAUGCAUCGGAACGUGCCCCGUAGUGGGGGAUAGCCCGGCGAAAGCCGGAUUAAUACCGCAUACGACCUGAGGGUGAAAGCGGGGGACCGAAAGGCCUCGCGCUCUUGGAGCGGCCGAUGUCGGAUUAGCUAGUUGGUGGGGUAAAGGCUUACCAAGGCGACGAUCCGUAGCUGGUCUGAGAGGACGACCAGCCACACUGGGACUGAGACACGGCCCAGACUCCUACGGGAGGCAGCAGUGGGGAAUUUUGGACAAUGGGGGCAACCCUGAUCCAGCCAUGCCGCGUGCGGGAAGAAGGCCUUCGGGUUGUAAACCGCUUUUGUUCGGGAAGAAAUCCUCUGGGCUAAUACCCCGGGGGGAUGACGGUACCGGAAGAAUAAGCACCGGCUAACUACGUG